CAAAUGACUCUCGGCAAUGGAUAUCUCGGCUCUUGCAUCGAUGAAGAACGUAGUGAAAUGCGAUACUUGGUGUGAAUUGCAGAAUCUCGUGAACCAUUGAGUCUUUGAACGCAAGUUGUGCCCGAGGCCUUGUGGUCGAGGGCACGCCUGCUUGGGUGUCAUGA
Molecule: ribosomal RNA, 164 nt
Filed under: Curcuma glauca
Lineage: Eukaryota; Viridiplantae; Streptophyta; Magnoliopsida; Zingiberales; Zingiberaceae
Also listed under: 4 other names
Description: Hitchenia glauca 5.8S ribosomal RNA
Rfam family: 5.8S ribosomal RNA
About the family: 5.8S ribosomal RNA (5.8S rRNA) is a component of the large subunit of the eukaryotic ribosome. It is transcribed by RNA polymerase I as part of the 45S precursor that also contains 18S and 28S rRNA.
Source: RNAcentral